CAGUCGCCGCGGUAAUACGAAGGGGGCUAGCGUUGUUCGGAUUUACUGGGCGUAAAGGGCGCGUAGGCGGACUGAUAAGUCAGGGGUGAAAUCCCAAGGCUCAACCUUGGAACUGCCUUUGAUACUGUUUGUCUUGAGUUCGAGAGAGGUAAGUGGAACUGCGAGUGUAGAGGUGAAAUUCGUAGAUAUUCGCAAGAACACCAGUGGCGAAGGCGGCUUACUGGCUCGAUACUGACGCUGAGGCGCGAAAGCGUGGGGAGCAAACAGGAUUAGAUACCCCAGUAGUCCCUGUCUCUUAUAC
Molecule: ribosomal RNA, 301 nt
Filed under: uncultured bacterium
Lineage: Bacteria
Description: partial 16S ribosomal RNA
Rfam family: Bacterial small subunit ribosomal RNA
Source: RNAcentral